RNAcentral lists this long non-coding RNA (360 nucleotides) under Olea europaea subsp. europaea. Lineage: Eukaryota; Viridiplantae; Streptophyta; Magnoliopsida; Lamiales; Oleaceae. The record is from RNAcentral.
AGAUGCUCAUUUCAGUUUAACAAAUUAUUUUUAUUUCAGCAAGGAUUGUCUGGAAGAAUAACGAGAUAAGAUUUAUGGAGUCGACCUCAUGAAAUGCUAUGGUUCUUACAUAUAAUUUAUUAAUUUCUUCAGAAGUAAUUCGCGAGAUCAUGCACCUCUCUUUCCUAGUUAUAGAGAAAAAAGGUCCAGUUGGUUGGAUCCAGCCUAUUCUUGAAAUAAACAACUCACACACACUCCCUUUUCAAAAAAAGAUCAAUACACCAAUCACUACACUUAGAUUUAUUGGAUUUGUUGCUAAAAUAUCGGUAUUAAAUCUGAAACUCCCGGCAGAUGACCUCGAGAUUUUUUAGCAAUUUUUAA